This 403-nucleotide ribosomal RNA is filed under the name uncultured Anaerolineaceae bacterium. RNAcentral's name for it is "partial 16S ribosomal RNA". It matches the Rfam family "Bacterial small subunit ribosomal RNA", at positions 355 to 774 of the family's 1533-position model. Lineage: Bacteria; Bacillati; Chloroflexota; Anaerolineae; Anaerolineales; Anaerolineaceae. The record is from RNAcentral.
UAGGGAAUAUUGCACAAUGGGCGAAAGCCUGAUGCAGCAACGCCGCGUGCGCGAAGAAGGCCUUCGGGUUGUAAAGCGCUUUUCUGGGAGAUGAGGAAGGACAGUAUCCCAGGAAUAAGGCUCGGCUAACUACGUGCCAGCAGCCGCGGUAAAACGUAGGAGCCAAGCGUUAUCCGAAUUCACUGGGCGUAAAGCGCGUGCAGGCGGCCUGGUAAGUUGGAUGUGAAAUCUCCUGGCUCAACUGGGAGAGGCCGUUCAAUACUGUCAGGCUAGAGGGCGACAGAGGGAGGUGGAAUUCCGGGUGUAGUGGUGAAAUGCGUAGAUAUCCGGAGGAACACCAGAGGCGAAGGCGACCUCCUGGGUCGCACCUGACGCUCAGACGCGAAAGCUAGGGGAGCGAACG